This 497-nucleotide ribosomal RNA is filed under the name uncultured bacterium. RNAcentral's name for it is "partial 16S ribosomal RNA". It matches the Rfam family "Bacterial small subunit ribosomal RNA", at positions 28 to 507 of the family's 1533-position model. The record is from RNAcentral.
GAUGAACGCUGGCGGCGUGCCUAAUACAUGCAAGUCGAGCGACCAGACGAGGAGCUUGCUCCUCUGCCGUUAGCGGCGGACGGGUGAGUAACACGUGGAUAAGCUACCUCUAAGACUGGGAUAACUUCGGGAAACCGGAGCUAAUACUGGAUAAUAUAUUCAACCGCAUGGUUCAAUAGUGAAAGACGGUUUUGCUGUCACUUAUAGCUGGAUCCGCGCCGCAUUAGCUAGUUGGUAAGGUAACGGCUUACCAAGGCAACGAUGCGUAGCCGACCUGAGAGGGUGAUCGGCCACACUGGAACUGAGACACGGUCCAGACUCCUACGGGAGGCAGCAGUAGGGAAUCUUCCGCAAUGGGCGAAAGCCUGACGCAGCAACGCCGCGUGAGUGAUGAAGGUCUUCGGAUCGUAAAACUCUGUUAUUAGGGAAGAACAAAUGUGUAAGUAACUAUGCACGUCUUGACGGUACCUAAUCAGAAAGCCACGGCUAACUACGUG